UUAUUACCAAUUGCAGAUACAAUGAAUUGUUCCGUUGUUAUAUUUCCCCAACUAGUCUGUCAUGGAGUUAGUGGCAAGUGUUGCUCUAAGUGUUGGUUCGACCACAAACAUAAGAGUUGAAGACGACGCCAAUGGCUUUUCUGUGGACGCAAUUUAGUUUUCACAAAUCAUGGAAUAACUACAGCAAGCCAAAACAACAACAACAAUCUUCCAUUUUGUGUAAAGACUGGUUCUCUCAAGUGAUGUGCAAAUUUCGUUCUCUGUUCCAAUGCAAAAUAGUGCCUCUCCACUAGUUGUGAUGGGACAUGAAGUUAAUUGGACUGUGUCUAUAUAUAUGCUCAUGCAGCUUAACAAUUACUUUGUGGCCAAAUCCGCCGGGGGAAUGGUCGAAUGAUUUCUCAGGUUUUGAGAAUUCACUGAAGAUGUGUUGUACUUCAUAUGUACUGUGACACAUAUCUUUUACACGUUAUUUCCUUGUGUCCUUAA
Long non-coding RNA from Triticum dicoccoides, 486 nucleotides. RefSeq lists it as uncharacterized. The transcript has 3 exons. NCBI's taxonomy places the organism in Eukaryota, Viridiplantae, Streptophyta, Magnoliopsida, Poales, Poaceae. The record is from RefSeq and is a predicted model, not a curated record.